GUUUUCUGUGGCUAGUGAGCCUUAUCUCUCCCUUUCCCAGGCAUUAUGAAGACCCUAUUUCUCUAGCUGUGCAGCUGCAAGGUCACUAGACAGAUAAACUCAAGUCAUAAAACAUGUUUUUCCUUGAAAAGAAAUGAUGUCAUGUAUGUCUCAAUUGAAUAACUGUCUUUGUUUCUUGCUUCUGUUAUACGCUUCCCCCUGCACAAAUCUUCCCCCACCCACGAAAUGCUUAAAAGGUAACUUGACUCUUUGUUUGGGGCUCAGUCCUUUGGAUGUUAAUCCAAGUGGACCAGUGCACCUAAAUAAUAAAUAUCCUCCUCAAUCCCUUGGUCUCUCUGAUUCCUUAUAUAUCCCGAUACAUUUCUGGGGGCUCAUCAGGAUUGGAGAUGACAGAUUUACUGUCCCCUUUGCCUGCGAUACUAGGUCCCCGGGGCCAGGAGAGACCCGGCAUCCAAGGUGUGCCACAGCUGAGCUUCACCCGGAUAUAUAGACCAGCUCUCCCCACGUCCCAGCACCCUGCCUGGCAGCGCAAUGGAACCGAGGAUGGGGCUGCAGGACGAUACCAGCACUUCAGGAACUGUGACAGAAUCUUGCUCCGCUGCCAAGGCUGGAGUGCACUGGUUCAAUCUCGGCUCACUGCAAACUCUGCCUCCCAAGUUCAAGUGAUUCUCCUGUGUCAGUUUCUUUAGGAAUACAGCACUCCAUAUUGUUACCAUAAUAAUGAAACGGAUUCCCAUGGCUACAGCGAUGAAGCAGCAGAAAAAAAAUGGAGAUGCUGUCAAAGAAAAAAGACACAGAUCAGAGAAAGAAGCAUAAAAGUGAUAUGUCUUGUCAUUCCCUUGAUGAUCCGAAG
This 853-nucleotide long non-coding RNA is filed under the name Homo sapiens (human). RNAcentral describes it as "PREDICTED lncRNA (TCONS_00052683)". Lineage: Eukaryota; Metazoa; Chordata; Mammalia; Primates; Hominidae. The record is from RNAcentral.